GAGACAGUUUUAAGAACUUGAAUAUGGCAUUUAUUUGCCUCUGAGUAGCCAACAAUUCAGCAGUACAUGAAUGACAAAAGAUGUAUGGCAUUGGAAAGAGUUUUAAAGGUGACAAAUAUUGUGAUGGAAUGGAAGAAUUCAGGAGGUCUUGGGUCCAUAGCUGCUUGGGUCUCAUUGUUUCCAAGCUGUUCAUCUUUUAGAAUGCUGAAUCUUCUAAAUCUCAGUUUCCCGAUUUCAAAUUUGGUUAUAAAAAUACCCACAUCACAGCAUUGUUGUAAGGCUCUACAUAUGACAGGCAUUGGACAAAUAGAGGCUGUGUUCUAACCCAAUCUCCAUUUUGUAGAUAAGAAAAUUCAGGGUCCGAAUUUUUGUGACAGCUCAAAGCAAAAUCUCGUGCAUCUGUGUUCUACUACAAUUCUAAAAUUUAUACUUUCAUGCCAGUUUUCUAGGCUGUAAUUGGAAAUGGGCUGACAAAUAGAGGUUUGUUUCUAAAAGAGAUGAGCGGAAAAACUUGCAGGCUCUUUUAUCCAGAUGCUCAGAAUGGUUUCCAGUUAGUGCUACUUUAUCCCAAGAACGCAAAUGGUCGGUUUCUGCUUCUCUUGCCUCCUCUGAUUCUGUUACUACUUGGAAAGCCCUGAGGUUCACAGCUAAUUAAAGAGGGAUGGAAGAAAAUUAUACCUCUGUUGAUACUAUUGUUUUAAUCUAUCUCAAAAGCUUCUUAACAGCAAGGCAACAAGCAGUGGACUGAGAGGGAGUUUUCUCUGAUAGAGAGGGCACAGGAGACCAUAGCAUGAUUUCCAUGAAUCCACUAUCAUUUCUAAGUGACUUUUAUAUUUUCUACUGUUGGAGAUUCACUCCCCCCACACACACACACACACUUUCAGAUAAUAUUCUAGGAUCUGCUGAGUCUUAAGAAAACAAAGAGGCCCAGAAGAGGAUAAAAUAACAUGUAUGUAAUGAAUUUAUUGUAUGCCUUGCACCAUGUUUCUCUCUUUAUUUCCUCAUUUAAUCACCACAACAAGAAUGUAUAUUCAUUUUUUAUAAGAAAAUACCAAAACUUUGUGAAGUUAAGAUCAUAAAGCUAAUAAGUGUCAGAGCUGGGAUUCAGAACCAUUUCUUUAUUAUCAUCAUUAUAAUCAGUCAUUAUAAUUAUCAGUCACCAUCUUCAUUAAAAGCUUAACCUUUAUUGGGCACUUAUUAUGGACAGAGCCCUCUUCUAAACAGUUUGAAUAUAUCAAUUUAUUUAAAUACACUAUAUAUGGAUUUAACAGCUACUCCUCACAAAAAUCCCAUGAAGUAGAUAUUAUUAUUAUCCCUAAAUUUUCCCAAGGUGAAACAGUUGAUAACCCAGCUAGUUUAAUUCCAAAGGCUCUUUCUGAAUCCGAAUCAGAUAUUUUCUAACUCUAUACCUUGCCUCACUAGGGCUUUCAGGACUGAGGAUCUUUCAGAAUCCUCAUGGGUACAAAAGAGCACACUUUACUGAAAAUAUGAUCCAUUUCAGGUAUACCUAGAUUAAAACCUUCCCAGCUCUUAUGACAGUAUCCUUCAUAGCCUUGACAGUGGGCAAUGUAGUGGACAGUAGUAGGUAUGCUUCAAGAUCAAACGGGUGAGCAUUAGAAGUUCAUCCCGGCCCCUAAUUGCUUAGCAAAGCAAGGCAUAGUUUAAUGUGACUUAGCAGUGUGACCACCUACCUAGAAGGCUUACGGUGGUUCACACAAAGGGCAGUGCUAAUUGACAAGAAGUGGGCAACACAGUCAGCACCUAGGACAGAUCCAGGGGUCCCUGGCUUCCAAACAAGGCUGAACUGCAGUUGGCAGCUCUCUGCUCUGCAACUGGUCCUGCCCUAAAGCUGGAACUUUAAAAGUUCUAGACAUUCUUACCCUCUGCAUAAAACAGUGGUUGCCCUUUGUGUAUGUAGUGACCUAAAAUAACAACAAUGUAUUAUUUUGCGUGUUUGUGUGGGUUGGCUGAGCAUUUCCUCGGCUGGUUUCCCUGGGUUCACUCAUGCAGCUGCAUUGAGCUGGAGGGUCACGGAACUGAAGGUUCAAAAUGGCUUCACUCAUAUGUCUAGUAGUUGGUGCUGGAUAUUGGCUGGGCUGCUUCAUUGCUCCUCCAUGUAGUUUCUUAUUCUAUAAUAAGCUACACCAGCUUCUUAACAUGGUGUUAAAAAGUAGCAUUCCUCCUCUUGAGAUCUCGUCACCAGAACUCACUAAAAGUCCUUUCUGCCACACCCCAAGAGUCAAAGUCCAUUCUACUGGCAAGUCCUUCACAGAUUCAAGAGGUCAGAAAAUUGACCCCACGUCUUAAUAAGCUGCAAAGAAUGUGCAGCCAAGUUUAAUUUAUCCCAGCCUCCUUAACUGCUCAAGAUGGAACACAGAAGUAGCAAGGUUUUUUCUGAUCCUUGACUACAAUACCACCUUAGCACAGUCUCCAUAUAUCACUGCUGUGUUUUGCAUGUACCUCUAUUAUAAUACUAAUCUAUUCGUGCAUUGAAUAAGCAAUUAUAGAAGAUCAUUGUGAGCCAGGCAAGGUGCCAGGUGUUUGUUUUUUUUUUUUUAAUUUAACAUUAGCUCAUCAAGUUAUUAUAAGAAUCUAUCAGAUUUUAUUCCCUUCUGUCCCCAUUUAAAGAUAAAGACACUGAAUCUCAGAACGAUGAAGAAAUUCACUCAAUGCGCAGUCAGCACAUGGCAGUCUUCCAUUUAAAUAGUCUAUUUACCACUUUUGGUUUUCCAUUUACCUGUCUACCUCCCCUAAAGAGUGUGUGCUUCCUGAGGACAAAAAUGCGUCCUUUGUGCAUUACCAGUUCAUACAGCAUGGCUGGAGGUGGUUUGUAGGUUCUCUUAAAUGUUGGAUAGAGAGACCAGUGGACUUCCAAAUUGUGGAUGCUUUGUUCUUUCUUCUGUGAGUAUCUACUGUUUAUAUUAUCUGAGAUAAUGUGGCUGAGAAUAAUAUGAUGGAAAUAAUAAUCAGCAUCACCUGCCAAAAAUUUAUUACAUGCCAGAAACUAGUGAGAAUUUUUUGCAUCUUUAUCUCAUAUAGCCUCACCACCUAUGAGGUAGGUACUAUCAUCCUGAUUUUAUGUGUGAGGAGCCAAGGGGUUAGAGAAUAGAUUUUGAUUGCCCAAGGUGAUACAACUGUUAGAACUUGCACUCAGGACUGACACCUAAGAUCAUAUUCUUGAUGACUGGAUUAUUCAGUUCACCCACCCCCAUUGCCUUUCUGCAUUCUUUUCUAGAAGAAAAGUUUACACGUUAAUAUGAAAGAAAAUGUACAUGAGAUGAAACUCUCCAUCACUACUGAAUAAAAUAGAAGGAAACUCAAAACCCUCUAUGAUCAGGACCCACACUGUCUUUGCAGUCCUAUUUCCUACUCUGCCUAUCAAUAGAGUCUCUGUUUCUACUCUAUUAGUCACUCUUUUUGUGAUGUGGCCUCUACUUUCGCCUUUAAUGAUAAGAUUCCCUUCAUUAGUCACACGUCGAAAUUCUUCAUCUUUAUGGAUAGCGAAAGUGACUCUUUGGAAAAACAUUCUUUUUAUUCCCCUAGUUGCCAUUAACCACCUGUUUGUCAACGCUUCACCAAGCAAAUAAUGUGUACCUUUAUUUAGCCCAGUUCGCUGUUUACAUGCUGUUUACCCGCCUCCAUCUCUCCUACCUUCCUCUCAUUUUUCCAAUACAUUUCACAUUUCUGCUUUGUCCAAGGCACUGUGCUAGAGCCCAGGACCUUAGAAAUAACUGAGAUACCGAUCCUACUUUCAGGAAACUCACAAAGAAGCCUUUAAAUAAAUAGAUACGGGAGCUUCCUAGGGGUGAAGCCAUGGGUGUAAACAAUUACAAUAUCAAAUCUAUGCUAGAAAUAUGGGCAAUGCCUCACAUUCUAGACAUUUGGUAAAUAUUUAUUCAUUUAAUUACUCUCUAUAAUGAAAGAGGCUUAGGUUCAAAUCCUGUUCUUUCUCUCUUGGUAACACUGAGCAAAUCACUUUCACUUUCUGAGGCUCAGAUAGCAAGAAGGUGAAAUAGUUAAUAAUACUGAACUCAUGAGGUUUCUGUGAAAAUUAAAUAUGUAGCAGAUGCCUAUAGUAAGCGCUCAAUGUAUUUUCGCAUUCUAAACUCCUCCCUAACUUACAUCCAGAAAGAACAUGUAGCAAUUCAAAAUGCAUCGCUGGAUGGAUGAACAGAUGGAUGGAUGAAUGAAUGAGUGAAUAAACGAGGCAAGAAUAAAACUUCAGGACAUGAUGACACAGACAGACCCUAUAAGGCAAGAGGGCAUCAACUCCCUUCUCAGGGGCUCUGAGCCACGAAAGCCCUGGAGAACACGCUCUUCUAUUGUCCUUACCUUCCCCCAGGGGUCGCGCCACUGCUCCUCCCCUUCACAGGGGGCCCAAACAGCUUGUUUUUCUCCUCUUUGUGUUCUGGGGAUAUGUGAUUUUACUGUCAGCAUGGUGUUUCUAAUGAAAGGCAAAUGGUGUCCAAUGUGACUGGAGAAAAAACGUACAAACAACAACAAAAUUAUAUGUUCUUUUUUCCUGUCGUGUUCGCAGGGAGAAUAUGUGACUUGUUUGCUGUCAAUACUGCUUAUAAUGACAUGGUGCACAGAAGCACUGCCAAAUGUGUGCAGCAUUCAUUAUACACAUGUAUUAAAUGUAAUGCGAUAUGAGUUUGGCGGCAGAGCAGAUGAGAGCUGCCCUGGGGCUAAUUUGGAGUUAGAGCACCUCUUCCUGUGGGAUGAUUAAGGGGGAAAGGGGGAUUGGGCAGCAGCAUGGGCGUGUAGCAGGGUGUCUAGAAUUUUCUGGAUUAAUUUUGGGCUAGGUUGAGAGACACGUAUUAGAGCGCAAAGGGUCUUUAAAUAUAUAUCCUCUUUCAGCAGUAACAACAGAAUCAUUUAAUGACCAGUUCUUGAGCCACUACUAACUAAGUGCCAGGUUUGUAAUGGGCUCAAGAAUAAGAUGCUUUACCAGCUUUCAAAAAGUUUACAAGUUGGUAGGAGAGAGAAACAAGUAGAGAGAGAGAAAAUAACAAUAGACCCUAAUAAAUUCAGUAAUAGGUACAGGCUAAGUGUUAUAUCAAACUGCAGAGGAGGGUACCUCAACCAGACAAAUGUCGCUUGUUCUGAGGUGCCUUCCCUGACCCCUCCUGUAGGACCAGGUUACCCUGUUAUAUGCUCUCAGGGUACCCUGGGCAUUCCCUUCAUGGUAUUUGUCAUGGUCUGAAGUUAGCUAUAUGUGUGAUAAUUUUACCAAUGUCUAUCUGGCUUCUAGACUUUAGGCCCUAUGAAGGCAAGGACCUCAUUUCUUUUGCCUCUAGCACCUGGCACCAUAUCUGGCACAUAGUAAUGCUCCAGUAAUAGUUGUGGUUAAAUGAUUGGGUACAGUUAUAUACGAGCUUAAUCUUGAAAGACAUGGGAGAAAUAAGCCACAUAAAGAGGGUGAGGGGAAUGGUGGGCUAAAAGAAGACGUGUGAAGCAUUCAUAAAUGAAUAUAAAAGUAUAGAAGUGAAAAUACACAGGACAAAAUUAGGAAAAAGGCAAUAAGACUGGACCAUUGAAAUUCUUAACUUUAUUAUUCACAUUUUCUCUAAUAAGGCACAAACAGGUGAGAGGCCAUACAUCACUGAUAACAUCCAGAAGGAAACACUCAAGAAACACUGGACUUGAUGGAGAUGUAAUUUGGGAGGCAGAUGUGAUGAGCUAGGCAGUAAAGGCAUAGUUUGGCUGUGAGAAGGAGAGUGUAGCUAAAGAAUGUUUAAGAAAGUCUUCUCUAUGGACUUCCCACCGUGGUGCAGCGGAAACGAAUCUGACUAGGAACCAUGAGGUUGUGGGUUCGAUCCGUGGCCUCGCUCAGUGGGUUAAGGAUCCAGCGUUGCCAUGAGCUGUGGUGUAGAUCACAGAUGCGGCUAGGAUCUGGUGUUGCUGUGGCUGUGGUGUAGGCCAGCAGCUACAGCUCCGAUUUAACUCCUAGCCUGGAAACCUCCAUGUGCCACAGGUGAGGCCCU
Molecule: long non-coding RNA, 5987 nt
Filed under: Sus scrofa (pig)
Lineage: Eukaryota; Metazoa; Chordata; Mammalia; Artiodactyla; Suidae
Description: lncRNA (ENSSSCG00000058809.1)
Source: RNAcentral